Long non-coding RNA from Panicum virgatum (switchgrass), 1497 nucleotides. RefSeq lists it as uncharacterized. The record is from RefSeq and is a predicted model, not a curated record. NCBI's taxonomy places the organism in Eukaryota, Viridiplantae, Streptophyta, Magnoliopsida, Poales, Poaceae. The transcript has 3 exons.
CUAAGUGCAGGCACAUCUCCCCCCUCCACUACUCUGACCCCAAACCCAACCGCCGUCGCCCCCAAUCUAAGUCCCACGCUGCCGCUCCCCAGUGCCGCCUCUUGCCGUCGCUCCUCCCCGGCUCCCUGCGCCGCAACUCCCAUCUGCUUCCGUGAUGCUAUCUUCCCUGGUGCUGCUGCUCGCUGCAAUUCAUGAUCCUCCUUAUCUGCAUCUAGCACUGCGCAUCUUAGGUACCCUGGCGCACCCAAAUCAAUCCCGCUGGAGGAGCCAGUAAUGUUGGAUCCAGCGCUUCCACUCGCUCCUCUUCGGCUUCAACGCCACACUCGACACAUGGUGAUGCCGUGAAAGGCUUCUGAAGUGGUGAAGUAUCCUCGACCUGCAGGCCCUCGACCUGGGAGCGUCUCAUGAGGAUGACACCUUCAUUGCGCCCAUCUGUGCCGCGGUCUCCGCAUGGCUCGCCGCCACCUCAUGCAGCUGCGAUCCAACUCCAACAGACAAGAAGUUUCUCCCUGCGUCACUUGGACAUUUCAUCGAAAUCUGAACCCCCUUGAUGCUGCUCGUUUCAUAAUUGGCAUAAGAUGAAGUGGAGGUAAGUACUUCCCUGCAUGACCCUGAUUCACUUUUGUUUUUCUUCAGAACUGAGUUUUGACAAUCAAAUCUCUAAUCUUUUAUGGCGUCAAAGUUCCAAAAUAUGUCCUAAGGAUAAUUUCAAGCUCUAAACUAAUGGCAGGUAAUCUGUUCCACAUGCAAGUGUUCAAUUUCAUAAUAUACGUGAGAGAUAACAUUUUUUUGAUAAAAAAAGAACUAAUAUAUAUGCUUUUUCCUUACAAGUAUAGUUUAUACUACCAAUUGUAUUUGCAAUCGUCAUGUUAGGUAUGCGUGGAUGCUCUCAUUAUAGCUUGGUAAGUCUCAUGGUGCAGCCUUUCAUGUCAGUAUUAAUAUAUGAUCCCGAUAGCAUUACUUACCACCUAAUAUGACCACUGUACUGUUGUCUUCAGAGAAUAGACAUCUUGCAUCCUUCCAAUGCUAUUGCUUAAUAAACAUCUUGCAUCCUUCAAAUGAUACUGUUUAUAUUUGACCUUUUAGUACAAUUUGAUCUUGAAUCAAAGAGUCCGUUCUAUUAAAUUGACUAUAGCUUAAUCUUCAGUGGAAGCCAUGAUGACUUCUACUGAAUGAUGCUUGCUAUAACCUCAUUUACAGGUUAAUUGAAGUAUUCUAAUUUCAUCAUGUAAAUUUGGGUCACCACACAUAUCCUAUAUCUUAUACACAAAUAAUUUGUUUGUUUAAUAUGCAGGAUCCUGGGAGACCAUGAAAAAAAUCCGAAAACUGAAGCAAACAUGGACGAGUGAAAUACAAAUUAGCUGCAAGCAUGAAGCUUUUUAAAUAGAUUUUGAUUUUAUAAAAAUUCGGGGUGAUAUGUAACAUUUUCAGUUUGUUAGAUGAUUGUUGACUGUAUAUGCUCUAAUAUGAAAUGAGUAUUGGUUCCUGUGAGGUUUC